UGAGGAAUAUUGCGCAAUGGGGGAAACCCUGACGCAGCGAUGCCGCGUGGGUGAGGAAGGCCUUCGGGUCGUAAAGCCCUGUCAGGUGGGAAGAACAGCUUCCGGGUAAAUAGCCCGGAGGUCUGACGGUACCACCGAAGGAAGCACCGGCUAACUCCGUGCCAGCAGCCGCGGUAAGACGGAGGGUGCGAGCGUUAUUCGGAUUCAUUGGGCGUAAAGGGCGUGUAGGCGGCCGGUUAAGUCAGAGGUGAAAGCCCGGGGCUCAACCUCGGAAGUGCCUUUGAUACUGGCUGGCUUGAGUUCGGGAGAGGGAAGCGGAAUUCCGGGUGUAGAGGUGAAAUUCGUAGAUAUCCGGAGGAACACCGGUGGCGAAGGCGGCUUCCUGGACCGAAACUGACGCUGAGACGCGAAAGCGUGGGGAGCAAACAGG
Molecule: ribosomal RNA, 430 nt
Filed under: uncultured Desulfobacca sp.
Lineage: Bacteria; Pseudomonadati; Thermodesulfobacteriota; Desulfobaccia; Desulfobaccales; Desulfobaccaceae
Description: bacterial SSU rRNA
Rfam family: Bacterial small subunit ribosomal RNA
Source: RNAcentral